This 429-nucleotide ribosomal RNA is filed under the name Bacteroidota bacterium. RNAcentral describes it as "Bacteroidetes bacterium partial 16S ribosomal RNA". It matches the Rfam family "Bacterial small subunit ribosomal RNA", at positions 355 to 776 of the family's 1533-position model. The record is from RNAcentral. Lineage: Bacteria; Pseudomonadati; Bacteroidota.
UAGGGAAUCUUCCGCAAUGGACGCAAGUCUGACGGAGCAACGCCGCGUGAGUGAAGAAGGAUUUCGGUUCGUAAAACUCUGUUGUUAGAGAAGAACAGCGCAUAGAGUAACUGUUAUGCGUGUGACGGUAUCUAACCAGAAAGCCACGGCUAACUACGUGCCAGCAGCCGCGGUAAUACGUAGGUGGCAAGCGUUGUCCGGAUUUAUUGGGCGUAAAGCGAGCGCAGGCGGUCAAUUAAGUCUGAUGUGAAAGCCCCCGGCUCAACCGGGGAGGGUCAUUGGAAACUGUUUAACUUGAGUGCAGAAGGGGAGAGUGGAAUUCCAUGUGUAGCGGUGAAAUGCGUGGAUAUAUGGAGGAACACCGGUGGCGAAAGCGGCUCUCUGGUCUGUAACUGACGCUGAGGCUCGAAAGCGUGGGGAGCGAACAGG